ACAAGCACGCAACAAUUAGAAAUAGUUAAUACAAACAUUUGCCACAUAGUCCCGCCACAAGCUCCGACUCCAGCAAAAUAGUUAUCCCACCUGUUCGUUCUCACGUUGCCCGAUGAGGACAGGCGAGCAUCCCCAGUGCCUUUUCAUCUAAUCAUGGCUUGUGUGAACAUCGACCUCUCGUCAGGCGCCAUGUCAUGUUACUUCAGCCGUUUCAACUAAACUGACGCAUGGCUGCCUGCCUGUGAGUUACUGUGUGUCCUUGGUGUCAAUUUGGUUAUCCUUUUAGUUCGCUACUAGUAGCGUCGCUACCUUGAUAUCUCACCUGUGUUGCCUUUCAGUCAUACGUGCUUGGCGAUGUUUCAACUGGCUCUCCUACCAGGAUCAGGGGACCGGUGUCCUUGCGCAGACUUGUGGCGGGCUACCAAUUUUACUCCAGGAAAAGUGUGGGCUCGCACCAACCUGAGUGUUCCUCACGCUAGGGCAAAGGAAUAAAACCCAUAUAUAACGUCAUUCCUGACUGUAAGUUCAUGUGCAGUACAUAGGCUCAGACAAUAGAAUCAAGAAUAGCAAUGCCACUUACCAAGAAGAGGAUUGGAAGCCUGGGAAGCCGAAAACGCAUGUUUUUUUUUUUUCCUGGAAAUCAACCACGUAGUUAUGCCAACUGUUGGUUGGAGGAGGUAUUUAUUGCGCAGAUAUAAAUUAGUUAUUCCAGCAUGUGUUCUUUCUUUUCUCCUCCUUUGGCCCGUCUUCUUCUUCCCAGCCGGAUGAAUAAAAAAUGAUAUUUUGAAUAUGUGUGAAAACCAUCUUGUGUAAUCUAACUAAUGUUUCUUAAUUACGAAACAGAGAUUGAUGGUUUAUCAUAAUUAUCAAGAGUCCGUGAUAAAGUUAGAACCAGGCCUACCUCCCUGAGGAAUCUCAUAGUUGCCCCCGUAUACACAUUUGAUAAUGAGAGGACUUCUUCCAUCUGUAGUCUCUCUCCUGGAGAUUGCGCCAAUACACCUCUCGGCAUUUUUUACGACGG
This 1021-nucleotide small RNA is filed under the name Histoplasma ohiense. RNAcentral describes it as "hypothetical lncRNA". Lineage: Eukaryota; Fungi; Ascomycota; Eurotiomycetes; Onygenales; Ajellomycetaceae. The record is from RNAcentral.